Molecule: unclassified non-coding RNA, 211 nt
Filed under: Hevea brasiliensis (rubber tree)
Lineage: Eukaryota; Viridiplantae; Streptophyta; Magnoliopsida; Malpighiales; Euphorbiaceae
Source: RNAcentral
GGACUGCACCGCGCCGUAAGCGCCCGCCGUCAUGAUCGCCACCAGAUCGCCGGGCUUCGGUUCGGCCAUCUUGCGGUCGAGCGCGAGAUAGUCGCCGGUCUCGCAGACCGGUCCGACCACGUCCGCGACAAAAUUACGCGCCGCGUCUUCGCGAACCGGCAGCACGUCGUGGUGCGCUUCAUACAGCGUCGGACGAAUGAGGUCGUUCAUC